GUAAAUUUUCUUGAUAACUAUGUAAAUUCGGCACUUUGGAGUAUUUAUUUAGAUGCGAGAGAAUUCUGUAGUUCACCAGAAAAAUUCAAGAACUUCACGAACAAAGACUUCUAAAUCGUUACUUUGAGCCAACUAAAAUGAUUCAAUUACGCAAAUUAUUAUCCAUUAUUAUCGUUGUAGUAUCGAUUCUUCUCCUCUCUUCACAAGUCGAUGUGGCAAGAAUUGCGCGCAGUUGCCAGCGGAUUUGCGAGGAUGGAAGUCGACCGGGUCCAGGAUGCUCAUGCAGCGAGGAUGGAUAACAAAAUAGCCUUUACUAAAAAUAACCGCAAAUCUAGUGCCAAUAUUGCAAUGGAAGUACCAAAGACGACAACAAAGUUAUGUAAUAUAAAUUCAAUUUAUUGGAGAGUAAAAUAAAGCUAUUUGGCACAA
Molecule: long non-coding RNA, 429 nt
Organism: Fopius arisanus
Lineage: Eukaryota; Metazoa; Arthropoda; Insecta; Hymenoptera; Braconidae
Exons: 2
Source: RefSeq, a predicted model, not a curated record